This 8983-nucleotide long non-coding RNA is filed under the name Triticum aestivum (bread wheat). Its description in RNAcentral is "long non-coding RNA (TAES_LNC007410)". Lineage: Eukaryota; Viridiplantae; Streptophyta; Magnoliopsida; Poales; Poaceae. The record is from RNAcentral.
AUAAAGAUGACCCUUGAGUCUGCAGAACCCAAGGGAAGGUGGUAGGUUGUUAGUGCAAAUGGUAAAACCAAUGUUGGGCAUUGCUGGAGGAGCUUUACUUAAGGCGAACUGUCAAGGGGUUCCCAUUAUAGCCCAACCGUGUAAGGAACGCAAAAUCCGGGAACAUAACACCGAUAUGACGGAAACUAGGGCGGCAAGAGUGGAACAAAACACCAGGCAUAAGGCCGAGCCUUCCACCCUUUACCAAGUAUAUAGAUGCAUUAAUUAAGUAAGAUAUAUUGUGAUAUCCCAAUAAGUAAACAUGUUCCAACAAGGAACAACAUCUCCAUGUUCCAACAAGGAACAAACUUCAAUCUUCACCUGCAACUAACAAUGCUAUAAGAGGGGCUGAGCAAAGCGAUAACAUAGUCAAUCAACGGUUUGCUAGGAAUGGUGUCAAAGGUUAGAGGUUUGACAUGGCAAUUUGGGAGGCUGACAAGCAAAUGGUAGGCAUCAUAGCAUUGGCAUAGCAAAAGAGCGAGCAAACUAGCAUAGCAAACAUAGUAGUGAUUUCGAGGGUAUGAUCAUCUUGCCUGAGAUUCCGCAAGGAAGAAGAACGAAUCCAAGAAGAAGACAAACGGACGUAGACAAACGGAUCCUCACAACCGCAACGUUGUCGGAAACAACCCGAAGAAGCACACCGGAAAGAAGCAAAUAACAUAGUAAACACACAAGCAUAAACAAGUCAUGAUGCACAAACGAGUAUGAUGCAUGUUCGGUUUAAAUAUGCAUGGCAUGGGAAAGUGCACAAACAAUCCUACAAAUUAAGUGGAGCUCAAUAUGCAACGAGUUGCAUAUUGACGAAACACCACAACAAGUUAUUUAGUUCGAUCUCAUUUACGUACUCAACAAUAUUAAAUGUUGGUUAACAUGGCAAGAGGUGAAGCAUAAUAUAAACUAUACCAUCUAAACAAUUUAAAUGGGGCCGGAUAUAAAAACAACAAAUCCGGUAAAUCCCCAUAUGCAUUUAGCAAUUUAAUGCAACAACAAGUUUAAACAUUUUAAUUGUUGUUAGCAUGAUGCGGAUGACAUAUACAAGUUUUAUGCAAUUUUAUGAAAAUGUUGACAUGAGCAUGUUAUGAAGCAUUUGGUCACCAUGGCGGAACAAAAAAGGGUGCCACGGCGGCGAAACAAAAAUGGUGCCACGGCAACAUUUCAGUCCCGGUAACUCAUGGAGAUACCGGUGCAAAAGGAGGCGUGCGGAUGUGCGCAACAUGCUAGAGAUGGUGGGGUGCUCCCGACUACCGGGUUCCCACGGGUUAGUGGCAUGGAAAACGAGUGACAAUUCGAACACGGUGCAAACGGUGCAUCUCAUACAUGCAAGGGCAUCUCAUCGCGGUCGUCGUCUCGGGGUUAUACCUUGAAGCGUGCAUUCGGGGCGGAACGCGUUCGUAGUGGAAGUAGUCGUUCACGGAGCGGUCGUCGUCGGAAGUAGAGGAAGUAGUCGUUCAAGCGUCCGAUGGUAAUAGUACUCGGUCGUUUCGAAGAGGUACUUGGGGUCAUUCGAACUUGCCGAUCUCGUCAUCUCGAAGGGAUACUUGACGUUCUUAGCGAUUCCGAAGACGAGGUAGAGGUACACUUGUUGUAGGGGUACUUGUCGGAUCCACGGCGACGGUAGAGGUACAAAUGUUCUCGCGGUACUUGUCGGUCCAGUCUUGGUGUAGAUGUACAUCGCAAACGUAGUGGUACUCGCGGACUUCGGCGCCGGUAGUCGUACACGGUUCGUAGGGGUACUUGGCGUUCUUGGUGAUUCCGAAGAAGGCGGUAGAUGUACUCGGCGAAUCCACAAGGCGUGCACGGGUCGAAGUGGAACUCUUGACAAAAUCCACGGGACUGACUUGGCAUGCAACGAGCACGGCGCGAUGGGCAUGAAGGGCGGCGCUGGUUCUCUGCUCCAACGAAGCAGAACGACGGGCGAGCGGGCGGCCGACCUGGUGUCUUAGAGCAGCGUGGAAAGGCGGUGGUGAGCGACCGGAUCGGAGGCAGAGGAGGUCACGGGAAGCUGGUCCGGCGGGAUCCGGGCGAAGGAGGGCCGACCUGGGAGGCGAUGGGCCUCGGCAGACCCGAGCAGAGCCAGGAGGAGGAGGUCGCGGGCGACGAGAGGGUGCAGUAGUUGCUGUUGCUGUCGGUGGCGACGAACUUGGAGGCGGGGCGGCGUGCAGAGCUGCGUGAAGGAGAGGCGGGGCCAUGGUAGGCCUCGUUGGCGGCGGAGCUAGGCUUCACCGGAGCAGGGGGGCCUCGGGCGUCAUGGGGCGGCGCUUGGAGCUCGGGGCAGAGGAGGUGGAGAGGCGCGGGACGAGGACGAGGCAGGAGGUCGCGCGAGGUGGAGGAGGAAGGGCGAGGCCGCGGCGCUGAGGAGGUGGUGGUGCUCGCGGGCGGACGAAGCAGGGAGGCGCGAUGGAGGUUGUCGACGCGGAGAAGUAGCAGGCGAGGCGCGGCCAUGGCAGGACCCGACGGAUCCGGACGGGGCGGCGCUGGAGGGCGACGCGAGGCAGAGAGUGGAGGGAGGAAGAGACAAGGGGGACCGAGCGGGACUGCGAGCGAGAGAGGUGGGGAUCGGGCGACGGGUGCGAGCGAUGCGGCGCUGGAGGGAGGACGAGGGAGAUGGAGAUCGAGCGGAGGGGAGGCUAGGGUUAGGGUUAGAGGCGUAGCAGCUGGGCCUUGGGCCUAGGGAGACUGGGCCGGCCUGGUGGGGAGGGGAAUGGCCAGAGGCCUGGCUGGGUCUCUCCCUCACUCUAAUGAAAAAUAAAAUAGAACAGAGAAAAGAAAGAAAAGAAAGAGAGGUUUAGGGAAAGGAUUUGCGCAUGGAGACAAUUUUCCCGGACUCACAAAAAUAUGCUCGUUCCAAGAAAAAUAGAAAGGCCAUGAUUGAAAGAUUUAAAUUCAAACUCAUUUGAAUUUAAUUCAAAUGGGUUUGAAAGGAAGUGAGGGUUUGGGAAGGUCCAAAAAUGUUCGGAUUUUUGGUGGAGCUCCGGAAAAUGAUGAAAUAAAUAUUGGCAAGGUUGGAGACCAAACUUGAAGCAGAAAAGGAACGAAAUUAUUUUGUAAGUGUGUUUUGGUGAUUCCUAAAAUGGAAUAUUUUAUUAUAGCUCCCUAAAUAUCGGGAGGGUAUGUUAUAAAGAGAAGUCACCCUUCCCUCGAUUUAAAUGGAUCGAAGAUCCAUACAAUUUAUUUAGUUGAGUUUUUAAAAAUUAAAUGACAUGAUGGCAUGAUGACAUGAUGCAAUGCAAAAAUAAAAGAGCAAGCACAAAAGAAACACAUGGCAAAACUCGGAAUAGCUGGAAGUCUUCUGGAGCGUCGGUCUCGGGGCGUUACAACACUCCACCACUACAAGAGGAUCUCGUCCCGAGAUCUAGAAUGGCACCGGAGGGAAAACGGAAGAGAAUGAGAAGAGGUAAACCAAAUUGCUUCUUUGACAAACGAGUGAAACCAAGAACCUCGCGAGGUUAAACCAAUUCAAGAAAAGAAUACAACGAAGGUGAACUAGGUCGAAAACACUCCGUUAGAAAAGAGGGACAAAGAGCAUUACGAGAACUUGAAGGUUGCAAAGACAUGAAUCAAGAGUUUAAUGGACAAGAUAGAAUUCGAAACCACUCCGGUUAAAACAAGAUGAGAGGGGAAGAAUUCGGGCAGUACUCCGGUUGAACAUGGAAGGAAUAGAACAUGAACUUGAGAAGAUGGGAUGUUACUUGAUGAAAUCAACAACACACUGCCUCCGGAACUAUUGAAAGAAUGACACAAUGGGUAAGAAGGAUUUCAGACAGCUCUCCAGUUGAGAAAGGAGGGAAAACUUGAUAAGAUUAGAGAACUCGAAUGAAAACACGACACUCCAGUUAAAUGGAUAAGCAAGAAAAGAACACGAUCCUCACGAAUCGAGAUGGUGAGUGAAAAGAGCAACGUCACAAUGCCUCCGAAAGAAAUAAUAGAAGAUAUAUCAUUGGAAUAACAGAAUGGAGAAGAAAAUGCCAACUUCUGCCACAAAUGAGUUUGGAAAGCAUCCUUGCAAAGAAGAAUUGAACGGAGUUGUUGGAAAAUCAACAACGAAAAGCACAAGCUUGUAGUGGGCUUAUGGAAAACAUCUCAAAAUUAUGAGGUGACAACCGGCCACUAACGGAAACAAUUGCUUGAGAUUAACGAAGAGAUGAAAACUUCUUCCACCAAGAUGAUAAAGAGAUAACUUGGAUCAUUGGCAAGCACCACAAAUAGCAACAUUCCCAAUGGAAGGCUUUUAGGUGAAAUAUGACACAAGAUAACUCCAACAACGAGGUUGAUGGAUUUAAAAAUAACUCAUUAUUAACAACAUGUGAAUCAUGGAACAUGAACUCAAAUUAUCAAGAAUGACAUAAUACCACCUCCAAAAUAUGGUAGAAAGAAUUGCACUCCGGAUUACCAUAUGAAGAAAGCUUGAGCUCCUUAGGAAAGAAUCUCGAUGAAAACUUUGAGAAGGGAAUUAAAUCCUUGAUGAACCAUCAUGUAGAACCUCCAUGAAGAACUCCGGUAAACAAAAGGAAUGAAAAGAAAGAGAAAUUGAAAACACAAGGUGAAUCCUUGCAAUGAUUUAGAUGGAUCUCCGUGAUAAUUAGAGCUUGGAACUCCGGGAAAAAGAGAAGAUGAAACAAAUGAAACCGAGAAUUUGAAGGGCCUCCGGAAUAAAGAAUUAAUCACUUGGAUGAACAAGAAUAAGAAUUAUGUUAUGCUUAUCCUUCACCAAUUAAAUUGAUGACAAUCAACGGAUUUGGCAUACUACUUAUUCUCGUAGAAAGGAUUAAAAGAGAUAUAUCAAAACUUGAGAAGGUCUUCAACGAACCACCGGUAGGAUUGGAACAACAAAUGAAUUGAUAUGAUGAACAAGGAAGAGAGAUCUUGAAAGAACCACCGUAAGAAUUGAAAAUGAUCGAAGUAGGGGUGCAUCACCGGUAAGAAUUAGCAAAUGAACGAAGGUGCUUGAGACAAACUAGAUACAUGAGAACAAAGAGAUCAAGAACUGAUUAGAGGAUAUUCGAUUGAUGCACCGGCAAGAUAGGAGAAUGAUAACUGACAGCUGAGAAUGAAUAAACCUGAAUUGAUGGACUCUGGAUGACAAACUGAGAAGACUCUUGAAUAUCUCCUGAUGGGUGAAAAAGAUUCUCACAAUCGAAAAUAAUUAUGAGAGGAUGGCAACAAGCUAGCACCAUGAAUCUUGAAGAGAAUAGAGCAAGAUUAAAGAGAAACUCUUCUUCGGUCUUCAAAUGAUGAGAAUGACAACGAGACACACCACCAAGAAUUAUUGAGGCACACCGGAAGAAUCAAAAGCGAAGAGGUUGAGCCAACUAUGAAAAGAAUUUGAAAGAUCUUGGAGAAAAAGCAUUUGACUGAUGAUAACUCAUUCUUACGUCAAACUUGGAAAAGAAUUUGAGAUAGCUUUGGGAAAAUAGAAGAGUCAGGUAAGAUCCUGGGAAAAGACCUGUGGGUUAGGGCCCACUCAAAAGAACACCGUUGAAAAGAUUUAAAAGAGAUGUUGCACCGGUUGAAUUAAAUGACUUGAAUGAGAUACCAAUCUCGAAAGAGCUUGAACGAAUGCAGAGUGGAAACACGAAUCUUCGAGAUAUCUCGAGCACUCCGGAAUAACAAAUAGCGAGAAGUGAAUGAAUAUGAGGAGCACCGGUAUGAGAAGACAUUGAAAUGAGGAAAAAGGUAUGAUCAACAAAACUUGACUUGAAUCCACCGGAGAAGAGAAAGGAAUGAGGAAUGACGAACUAGUAGAACAUCUUCUUGAGAACCACCGGGUAAGAACAUUGACGGAAAAGAAUGGAGAAACUUCACAAAAANNNNNNNNNNAUAAUGAGGUGCACCGGUAUGAGAAGACAUUGAAAUGAGGAAAAAGGUAUGAUCAACAAAACUUGACUUGAAUCCACCGGAGAAGAGAAAGGAAUGAGGAAUGACGAACUAGUAGAACAUCUUCUUGAGAACCACCGGGUAAGAACAUUGACGGAAAAGAAUGGAGAAACUUCACAAAAAUAAAAGGAUACUUGGUAAAGAAAUCUUAGUCCUUGAGGAAAAAGGGUGGGUGGGCGGGAAAAAACAAAGGCAACUUGGAGACGGAUGAAACCAACACCGUUGAGAAGAAAUGAUAAUUGGUCUUGCUGAUGUUGAAGUGAUCGGAUCCACUUGAAGAGAAACACGCCGGUUGAAAAAAAAGGAUUGACAAGACAGACUCGAUGAUCAAGAAGGAUUAGUAUUCACAUAGGAAUAUGAGAACACCAUUUGGAAAAGGUAUGGAAUCAACAUUUGACUUCGAAGCAACUCGAAUACCAUAACUCAAAACAAAACAAAGGAUUGGCUUGCAAAAUAAGCCAGAACAAACAUAUGAUAGAGAUUUCGUCCGAAGUUUUCGUGGUGGGGCCUACACGGGCUCGAUCGUACAGCACCAUCAUGUACAAGGCAGUGCACAUGACAUACGAAGCGUCCCCGAGUCGGCAUAGCCAAGGACUCUUUAAGACACAACGAGACCACUGUAAAACCAACCGUGAAUAGGCGGACCACUAGACGUCGAACCCCAAUUUCAUAUCAUACAUCCGUCGGAAAGAUAUCCUAAGAGCUACUUGAAUUCCCACCUAUGAAACUCCCGAAAUUUUCCGGUUAUGCAAUCAGGUGUUGGGGAUACAGGGGAAGCAUAAUAUCUCACCCAAACUAGCAAACCCUACAUCCAGCUGUAUCCAUCCUUCAACACAUAACCAAGAAACCUUCGGAAAUCAUCUACCUCAACCUUCGAAAAGCAUCAGUUAUACAAUUUAUGGCAAUACUCCCGUACUCACCUCAGUACUGGGUUAUCGGGGUUAUCUCACCAACAACUGCAUAAAAGAGAUUUUCGAUGUCGGCGUACUAAACUCAGGUAUUCCAGAACUGCAACGAUAAAAUUAUGACGACAACACCUCAGAGCUCAACUCCCCGGGACACUUCCACUAAACCCCUGACAGGAGGCACCAAGACAAUGUUCUCAUCAUAAAACCAUCAGAACGAUUCCAAGAUACCCGCGUGAUCCUAAAAAAAAUUUAGUGAAAUUUGAGAAGAGAAGAGUCAAAACUCUACGUCAGGAUGCCUUACCAGAGCGAUGAGUAGACUGGGAAGUAAAAAGAAUUUCUAACUCUCUGAUAUAUAAUUCCUAAAUGACUCAAAACAUUUUUUCUAGACACAACUCGGCCGCUAAAAAUGAUCAAACAGUGGGGCUCCUAAGGUCGGGGAAGGCUCUGAUUACCAACUUGUAACACCCUCGAUGCGACUAUAUCUCCCACGUGUCGAGGCACGACUUAGAGGCAUAAUCGCAUUGAAGGCAUAUGUCGCAAGUGAGGUAAUCUUCACACAACCCAUGUAAUAUAAUAAGGAAAAGGAUACAUAGUUGGCUUACAAUCGCCACUUCACACAAUUACAUGAAUAAAGCAUUACAUCAUCCAGAUACAAUCAAGGUCCGACUACGGAACCAAAAUAAAAGAAGAACCCCAAAUGCGACAAAGGUCCCCGAUCGACCCCAACUGGGCUCCACUACUGAUCAACUAGAACGAAACAACACAAAGGGCAAGAUCUUCAUCGAGCUCCUCCUUGAGCUUGGUUGCGUCAUCUGCACGGUAACAUAGGCACCUGCAAACUGGUUUUGGAAGUAUCUGGUGAGCCACGGGGACUCAGCAAUCUCGCACCCGCGAGAUCAAGACUAUUUAAGCUUAUAGGAAGGAUGGAGUAAUGAGGUGGAGCUGCAGCAAGCGACUAGCAUAUAUGGUGGCUAACAUACGCAAAUGAGAGCGAGAAGAGAAGGCAAAGCACGGUCGAUAAAAGUAUGAUCAAGAAGUGAUCCUAUAGCAACCUACGUCAAGCAUAACUCCAACACCGUGUUCACUUCCCGGACUCCGCCGAGAAGAGACCAUCACGGUUACACACGCGGUUGAUGUAUUUUAAUUAAGGUCAACUUCGGGUUUUCUACAACCGGACAUUAACAAAUUCCCAUCUGCCCAUAACCGCGGGCACGGCUUUCGAAAGUUCAAUCCCUGCAGGGGAGUCCCAACUUAGCCCAUGACAAGCUCUCACGGUCAACGAAGGAAUAGACCUCCACCCGAGACACUCCGAUCAGACUCGGUAUCCCGGUACAACAAGACAUUUCGACAGGGUAAAACUAAACCAGCAACACCGCCCGAAUGUGCCGACAAAUCCCGAUAGGAGCUGCACAUAUCUCUUUCUUAGGGCACACUCAGAUGAGUCUAGCUACGAGUAAAACCAACCCUCAAGUUUCCCCGAGGUGGCCCCGCAGGCAGCUCAGUUCGGACCAACACUCAGAGGAGCACUGGCCCGGGGGGGUUAGAAUAAAGAUGACCCUUGAGUCUGCAGAACCCAAGGGAAGGUGGUAGGUUGUUAGUGCAAAUGGUAAAACCAAUGUUGGGCAUUGCUGGAGGAGCUUUACUUAAGGCGAACUGUCAAGGGGUUCCCAUUAUAGCCCAACCGUGUAAGGAACGCAAAAUCCGGGAACAUAAGACCGAUAUGACGGAAACUAGGGCGGCAAGAGUGGAACAAAACACCAGGCAUAAGGCCGAGCCUUCCACCCUUUACCAAGUAUAUAGAUGCAUUAAUUAAGUAAGAUAUAUUGUGAUAUCCCAACAAGUAAACAUGUUCCAACAAGGAACAACAUCUCCAUGUUCCAACAAGGAACAAACUUCAAUCUUCACCUGCAACUAACAAUGCUAUAAGAGGGGCUGAGCAAAGCGGUAACAUAGCCAAUCAACGGUUUGCUAGGAAUGGUGUCAAAGGUUAGAGGUUUGACAUGGCAAUUUGGGAGGCUGACAAGCAAAUGGUAGGCAUCGUAGCAUUGGCAUAGCAAAAGAGCGAGCAAACUAGCAUAGCAAACAUAGUAGUGAUUUCGAGGGUAUGAUCAUCUUGCCUGAGAUCCCGCAAGGAAGAAGAACGAAUCCAAGAAGAAGACAAA